GCGUUCUGUAAGCCGUUGAAGGUGGCCUGUGAGGGUUGCUGGAGGUAUCAGAAGUGCGAAUGCUGACAUAAGUAACGAUAAAGCGGGUGAAAAGCCCGCUCGCCGGAAGACCAAGGGUUCCUGUCCAACGUUAAUCGGGGCAGGGUGAGUCGACCCCUAAGGCGAGGCCGAAAGGCGUAGUCGAUGGGAAACGGGUUAAUAUUCCCGUACUUGGUGUUACUGCGAAGGGGGGACGGAGAAGGCUAUGUUGGCCGGGCGACGGUUGUCCCGGUUUAAGCGUGUAGGUGUGUGUUCCAGGUAAAUCCGGUUCACUUUAACACUGAGGCGUGACGACGAGGCACUACGGUGCUGAAGCAACAAAUGCCCUGCUUCCAGGAAAAGCCUCUAAGCAUCAGGUAACAUCAAAUCGUACCCCAAACCGACACAGGUGGUCAGGUAGAGAAUACCAAGGCGCUUGAGAGAACUCGGGUGAAGGAACUAGGCAAAAUGGUGCCGUAACUUCGGGAGAAGGCACGCUGACACGUAGGUGAAGUGAUUUACUCAUGGAGCUGAAGUCAGUCGAAGAUACCAGCUGGCUGCAACUGUUUAUUAAAAACACAGCACUGUGCAAACACGAAAGUGGACGUAUACGGUGUGACGCCUGCCCGGUGCCGGAAGGUUAAUUGAUGGGGUCAGCGCAAGCGAAGCUCCUGAUCGAAGCCCCGGUAAACGGCGGCCGUAACUAUAACGGUCCUAAGGUAGCGAAAUUCCUUGUCGGGUAAGUUCCGACCUGCACGAAUGGCGUAAUGAUGGCCAGGCUGUCUCCACCCGAGACUCAGUGAAAUUGAACUCGCUGUGAAGAUGCAGUGUACCCGCGGCAAGACGGAAAGACCCCGUGAACCUUUACUAUAGCUUGACACUGAACAUUGAGCCUUGAUGUGUAGGAUAGGUGGGAGGCUUUGAAGCGUGG
Molecule: ribosomal RNA, 949 nt
Filed under: Salmonella enterica subsp. enterica serovar Stanley
Lineage: Bacteria; Pseudomonadati; Pseudomonadota; Gammaproteobacteria; Enterobacterales; Enterobacteriaceae
Description: partial 23S ribosomal RNA
Rfam family: Bacterial large subunit ribosomal RNA
Source: RNAcentral